Molecule: long non-coding RNA, 798 nt
Filed under: Triticum aestivum (bread wheat)
Lineage: Eukaryota; Viridiplantae; Streptophyta; Magnoliopsida; Poales; Poaceae
Description: long non-coding RNA (TAES_LNC022278)
Source: RNAcentral
UCAACUACAAAACUCAGCUAGAUUGAUUUGUACAGCAAAUUGCAAAGAAGAUUACUUAUAUCAAUCAAUAAGUGUAAAAGGAUGUGGCCAGUUUGAUACAUCAGACUUUUUAUGUUCAGUCAGGAUAUGGCCAGAUCGAUUCAUCACAAUAAAUUCCAGUGGAAAGGGCACUCCGAACCAACAAAAACAUGAACCGUGAUACGGCUGGCCGGUUGUAGAUCGCCACUGGCAAAUAUCUCCUGGUUAAGUGAAGCGUGUAUCAGCACUACACUGAAAAUAUCAAAUGUGAAGCAACACUACACUGAAAAAAAUAUACUGGACCUCGUGAGAUACUGAGAGAACAGAAUCACAAGCAUCAACUUAGAGGAUCAGAGAGAUACAUGGUGAAAGUUAGUCGGCUUGAUGGCGAGGGCCUCACCGUAUAGGUGGCCACCGUCGAAGUGGGGGAUCAGAGUCAGCCGCGACGGAAGCCGAGUUCAGCGACGACGGCGGAGGAGCGGAGGGUCGGCGGCAGAGGCCGACUGGAGCGGGGGGUGACGGGCAAUUGGAGCGGCGGCGGAGUGGAGGAUCGGCGAGUGGCGGUGGUAGCCCGUGCUGGCGCGUCCACUGGGCAACACAGAAGGAGCGGGCGGCGGCAGAGGCCGACUGGAGCGGGCAGCGACGGGCGAUUAGAGCGGCGGCAGCAACCCGUGCCGGCGCGUCCGCUGGGCAAGGAGCGGGCGGCGCACCGUGCACAGGAGGAGAGGGCGGAGGUUACACAGGAGAAGCAGGAUAGAGAUCGUGGUUCGUUCGUGCGGA